Molecule: ribosomal RNA, 253 nt
Filed under: uncultured bacterium
Lineage: Bacteria
Description: partial 16S ribosomal RNA
Rfam family: Bacterial small subunit ribosomal RNA
Source: RNAcentral
UACAGGGGGUGCAAACGUUGCUCGGAAUCAUUGGGCGUAAAGCGCACGUAGGCGGUUACUUAAGUCGGAUGUGAAAGCCCUUGGCUCAACCGAGGAAGUGCACCCGAAACUGAGUAGCUAGAGUACGAAAGAGGGUCGCGGAAUUCCCGGUGUAGAGGUGAAAUUCGUAGAUAUCGGGAGGAACACCGGUGGCGAAGGCGGCCUUCUGGACAGUGACUGACGCUGAGACGCGAAAGCGUGGGGAGCAAACAGG